Acanthosepion pharaonis is the source of this 93-nucleotide non-coding RNA. Lineage: Eukaryota; Metazoa; Mollusca; Cephalopoda; Sepiida; Sepiidae. The record is from the annotation of a GenBank genome assembly.
UAGAAACCACCCGAUCUCGUCCGAUCACGGAAGUUAAGCAAAUUCGAGCCUGGACUGAAGUUGAUGGGUGACCACUUUGGAAAACCAGGUACU